CUGAACAUGAGAUCAAAGGGGGGUGAAAUGUGACUGAGGUGGUUCGAAAUCCAUGCUCUUUUGAUGAGUAGGCUAUCCUUGCUGGAGACUUGAAGACUUUUUUUCAAAUACAAGUUACAUUUAUGGAUUCAAAUAUUCAAUCUGUGCAUUACACAUUCAAAAAUAUUAAAUGAAAAUGCAAUACCCUAAUACAAAUACACAAUUAUAAAAUUAAAAUACAAUUUCUAUUGGCACUGAAAUCGCUACACACAUAUGACACGAAGUGGCAAGGAGUGGAAUGAUAGUUUAAGACUGGUACCCAGACUAGUGCAUCUAGACCAAAUCUUUGCUCCCCAAAUUCUGUGCAGUAAUUGCGGAUUCUGACUCCCGGAAACUCAACUCUCUGGUAACAUUUGUUGGAGCAUGCAGGCAAAACUGUCCUUGAACAACGAAAACAUGCAUGUUAGCUGGCUAAAUAGCUAUACAAUGUUAUAUUUGAUCAAGUGAAACCAUAUUAAAAUCUCAAAUUAGUUAUUAAGCAAGCUAGCUAACUGUUCUAGCUAGCCAACAAUACAAAAAACUCCCAGUCAGCUGGUGCUAAUUGCUAGCUAGCUGUAGCAUUGUGAUAUUCACGGACUUGGAUACCGUUAAAUCUGUUCCCAUCACGAUUAAAAGAAGCCCCAGGAUGGUGUGUGAGCUGCUAGUCUCCUCACUGUGGUUCCUUUUUGUCAUCUUCUGGGUGGAGACCAUAAGUGUGUGGCUGUUCCUAUGCAUCUUCUACCAGGACCAGGCAUUUUAUCACUGGGGAGAUGGGGUAUUUGCAGAUGACCCCGGCCAAAUGCUGUACAUGUUGAGCAGAGUGGAUCCCUCUGGACAGAUGCAGACCUGAAACAGUGAAAGCAUAUGAGGAACAGCACAUAAUGGAUUGUUCUCUCCAGAUAUAAAAUGAUGGGAGCUGUAUGUUUGAGACACUCCUAUAAAAUAAUGAGAAUCAGUAGUAUUUUUCUACCUCCCUGCUCCUGGUUCCCUCCUAGAUUUAGCGCAUGGUCAUUGUCAACAUGAAGAAACUGCAUUGAAUGCAGUUGGAUUGUUGUUGGAUAUGGGUAGAGACACCCAGCUUGGCAAGAAGAACCAGGGAGGGGGUCUUGCCGUAACUGUGGAAUAGAUGCAUAGUGAGGCAGCUAAGUGUUCCCCACCAAAGCAUGAACCAUCAUACAUAUGUUCUAUUUCCAUUGUCUGUGUUAAUAUGUGAUAUAGGUCAAACAAUGUGGGAAAACACUUGGCAGAUGCUUUGAAAAAAUAUUUUUACAUGAGGUUUAGUCCAUAGCCAAUGUCAUUUUUGUGGAUUUCGGCAGACUUGCACAUUAUCAUGGUUGUACACAUUUUAGUUUGUUUAUUUGUUUGUUUUCACAUCUGUGUCUGUAUACAUCAUCUGCUUCAGUCUGGGCACUUACAUAACAGUGUCACUGGAUUGUUUUGCUAUGUAAAACACUAACAACAUUAUUGACAUGAUACACAUUCAAUUAAAAACUUUACUCUUGGAAAUCUUCCAACAUGACGAUAAUAUAAUAUGCACUCAUCAGUAUUUUGUCAUUUGCGCUCAAACUAAAAUGUUGAAUGUAGCUUUUUUUUUUGCUGUUGUAAAGCUCACACCACACUAAUAAUGUCAUGAAUGCUCUUCUAGCAAAUGUGGAAAAUUAUUACAAACCUUAGAUGAAUUCUACAUUUUGACUUGUACCUGUUCAUAACUUGUAAAUUGUCUUCAUUGAAGAUCAUCCUUCUGUAAUGUCAGUCAGCCUAACACAAGUAUUGUCUUUGUAAUGUUGACUUCUUCUUGUUUAGGAAAGUGGCAUGUUGGGUUAAACUGGGCAGUGACACCAAUGGUACGUUUGGUUUUAUUUGUUUGCAUCUGAAGACAAUAAAUUCUGACAUUUUCCAAGCUUGUUGUACUACUAUUUCAAACAGUUUCAGAUUUGCUGCAGAUUGAUGGUUGGUAUAUAAUUUCUCAAUUUUAUAUUCCAAUACAGUAGAGGGCAGUGAUGUGUUAUUUUAGUAUCUUGCUUUCCAACGUAGAAUCAUAUAAAUUGAUAAGGGGUAGUUUAUGGUACCACCAAAGAUUUUUAUGACUAAACCAAGAUGGACCACAGCCCGUUGUUUCAAAUGAGAACAAAUGAGCCAUAGUGGGCAGAGCAAGCAAGGAGGUGGGCAGAGCCAAG
Molecule: long non-coding RNA, 2195 nt
Filed under: Salmo salar (Atlantic salmon)
Lineage: Eukaryota; Metazoa; Chordata; Actinopteri; Salmoniformes; Salmonidae
Description: lncRNA (ENSSSAG00000097217.1)
Source: RNAcentral